Small nucleolar RNA from Pipistrellus kuhlii (Kuhl's pipistrelle), 150 nucleotides. The record is from RefSeq and is a predicted model, not a curated record. NCBI's taxonomy places the organism in Eukaryota, Metazoa, Chordata, Mammalia, Chiroptera, Vespertilionidae.
GUUCAAAUUUCAUUGAAUUAGAGGUACAACAAUGGUAUCAAGAACACAAGUGCUUUCUGUUACUUAAACUUUGGGACAUUAAAACACAGACAAGGGAAGAUGAUUGGAUAGAAAGUGUUGCUCUAUUCAUUUACCUUCCAGUCUAUAAAA